CUGUACGACAUACACACACAUAGAUACAUGACGACGGAUCACGUACGAAGCCACGUAUACGGAACCCGUGGCCCCCUUAUUCAACACACGCAUACAUGUAUGUACGUACGCAGGAAAGCCAAAAUACACACACCGGGCGCGCGGGCCCGCCUCUCAGUCUCACACUCUCACACACGCGCAGCAUAUAUAUACGCGGAGAAAUUAAGAAGCGCAUACUAUGUAGACAAGAGAUACACGUCGGUGCUGGUGCAGAUGAGCUAGAUCAGCCGAAGAGGUGGUGGUGCUUCUUCUCGCCGCCGGCCUCCUCGGCGUCCUUGUGGUCCUUCUUCUUCUCGUGGUGCUCGUGGAAGGCGAAGCCGCCGGAGCCCACGGCCGCCGCCGCCGCGACCUCCUCCUCGAUCUUGUGCCGGUGCGCGUGCUCGGGGUCCUUCUUCGCCUCGUGCUUCUCGUACUGCAUGCACACAAGGAAUUAUUUAACUCAGAGCCAAAGUUCAUUCGCGUCGCGGCCGAUAGAUCACACAGUGAAAUUAAAGAUUGAUCAGCACAACGAAGGAAGCACGAAAGAUCGAGGAGGAGGAGGACGUACAAGAGCGAAGGCGCCGGCGGCGACGGCGCCUGCCUCGCCGAGGUGCUGCUUGUGCUUGUGCUCCUUCUCCUCCUUCUUGUACGUGUCGUACUCGUCCUCGCCGGUGGACACCACCUCCGUCACGGUCGCCUCCGUGUACUCGCCGUACCCGCCGGCGGGCUGCUCCGCCGCCUCAUCGUCCUUCUUGUGGUUGAAGAGGUGGUGGUGGUGGUGCUUCUCCUCCGCCAUGGAUGAAACGGGACGGCCUUGUUGAAGCGCGAGAGUGACAAUAGGAUGGUGGUGCUUGCUUGGUAGCUGAUGUGUUUGGCUUACUUGUGUUGCUGCUU
RNAcentral lists this long non-coding RNA (912 nucleotides) under Setaria viridis. RNAcentral describes it as "long non-coding RNA (SVIR_LNC008551)". Lineage: Eukaryota; Viridiplantae; Streptophyta; Magnoliopsida; Poales; Poaceae. The record is from RNAcentral.